This 194-nucleotide ribosomal RNA is filed under the name uncultured bacterium. RNAcentral describes it as "partial 16S ribosomal RNA". It matches the Rfam family "Bacterial small subunit ribosomal RNA", at positions 338 to 524 of the family's 1533-position model. The record is from RNAcentral.
CCUACGGGAGGCAGCAGUGAGGAAUCUUGCGCAAUGGGGGAAACCCUGACGCAGCAACGCCGUGUGAGUGAUGAAGGCCCUCGGGUCGUAAAGCUCUGUUCGAAGGAAAGAAUGGUAUUUGACUAAUACUCAAAUAAUUUGACGGUACCUUCAGAGGAAGCACCGGCUAACUCCGUGCCAGCAGCCGCGGUAAU